This is a non-coding RNA of Salvelinus sp. IW2-2015, 491 nucleotides long. NCBI's taxonomy places the organism in Eukaryota, Metazoa, Chordata, Actinopteri, Salmoniformes, Salmonidae. The record is from RefSeq and is a predicted model, not a curated record.
UUGCUAGAAGUCGUUGACCAUUUUACUCGUAGUUCCGCCCACACCCGGAUGUUGUGCUUUUUAAUUGCUCGUAUGUUGGUGAUGGGAAGUUGUGAUUCUUUACAUGAGAUGGUGUUUUGCACUAGUUCUGGCAAAUACAUAUGAAAUAAAUGGUAUUUACUAGGUCAGGAGCAUGCUGCGUGAGGGGAAAGAAGCGUGUCCCCUCUCAGAGGAUAGUUUCAGCCACUUUUUCUGUCCCAGAGUAACACGUGUACGGCCUCUGCUGGCGGGAGAGCAAGAGCUAACGUUACUCACCGCUAAUCUGAAAGGCAAAGUUGUCUGUUUGAGGUACCAAUACCUCCAACAGAAAGUAAGACCUGUUGCUAAAGAAGUACAGUUCAUCUACAUACCAGGACUCUGGUGACAAAGCCACUCUGUUCCUCAACAUCUACUGUGACAACAAGCCAUGGUCGCAGUUGCAAAUGAGAACUUGUUCUCAACUAGCCUACCUG